This 253-nucleotide ribosomal RNA is filed under the name uncultured bacterium. RNAcentral describes it as "partial 16S ribosomal RNA". It matches the Rfam family "Bacterial small subunit ribosomal RNA", at positions 524 to 776 of the family's 1533-position model. The record is from RNAcentral.
UACGAAGGGGGCUAGCGUUGUUCGGAAUUACUGGGCGUAAAGCGCGCGCAGGCGGUCUUCCAAGUCAGUGGUGAAAGCCCGGAGCUCAACUCCGGAACUGCCAUUGAAACUGUUGGACUUGAGUACGAGAGAGGUGAGUGGAAUUCCCAGUGUAGAGGUGAAAUUCGUAGAUAUUGGGGAGAACACCGGUGGCGAAGGCGGCUCACUGGCUCGUAACUGACGCUCAGGCGCGACAGCAUGGGGAUCAAACAGG